GUAUUUUCCUAUCAAAAUUGCCGUGAUUUGGAUCUGGUAAGGAUGGUCCACCUUGAUAUUUUGGUUGAUCAAAGUAUAAGCUGUGUUCUGUUUAUCCUUGAAAUGUUCAAUUUAAGAAGUUUGCAAUGUCUUGAUGAGUUGCUGCAGAUGUUCUUAAAUCUGAAUGCAAGGAUGGCAUUGGCUUGGUCACCCCUUUUCAGUAAAAGAACUUGAAACUUGUCUAUCUUAGACUUUUUGCACAAAUGUUCUGCUUUAUGCUUUUCCUUUUUU
RNAcentral lists this unclassified non-coding RNA (270 nucleotides) under Hevea brasiliensis (rubber tree). The record is from RNAcentral. Lineage: Eukaryota; Viridiplantae; Streptophyta; Magnoliopsida; Malpighiales; Euphorbiaceae.